Molecule: ribosomal RNA, 468 nt
Filed under: uncultured bacterium
Lineage: Bacteria
Description: partial 16S ribosomal RNA
Rfam family: Bacterial small subunit ribosomal RNA
Source: RNAcentral
GAUGAACGCUGGCGGCGUGCCUAACACAUGCAAGUCAAGCGAUUCUCUUCGGAGAAGAGCGGCGGACGGGUGAGUAACGCGUGGGUAACCUGCCCUGUACACACGGAUAACAUACCGAAAGGUAUGCUAAUACGAGAUAAUAUGCUUUUAUCGUAUGGUAGAAGUAUCAAAGCUUUUGCGGUACAGGAUGGACCCGCGUCUGAUUAGCUAGUUGGUAAGGUAACGGCUGACCAAGGCGACGAGCAGUAGCCGACCUGAGAGGGUGAUCGGCCACAUUGGAACUGAGACACGGCCAAAACUCCUACGGGAGGCAGCAGUGGGGAAUAUUGAACAAUGGGCGAAAGCCUGAUGCAGCAACGCCGCGUGAGCGAUGAAGGCCUUCGGGUCGUAAAGCUCUGUCCUCAAGGAAGAUAAUGACGGUACUUGAGGAGGAAGCCCCGGCUAACUACGUGCCAGCAGCCGCCGUAA